UACGUAGGGGGCAAGCGUUAUCCGGAUUUACUGGGUGUAAAGGGAGCGUAGACGGUGAUGUAAGUCAGAUGUGAAAGCCCAGGGCUCAACCCUGGGACUGCAUUUGAAACUAUGUUGCUAGAGUGCAGGAGAGGUAAGUGGAAUUCCUAGUGUAGCGGUGAAAUGCGUAGAUAUUAGGAGGAACACCAGUGGCGAAGGCGACUUACUGGACUGUAACUGACGUUGAGGCUCGAAAGCGUGGGGAGCAAACAGG
This 253-nucleotide ribosomal RNA is filed under the name uncultured prokaryote. Its description in RNAcentral is "partial 16S ribosomal RNA". It matches the Rfam family "Bacterial small subunit ribosomal RNA", at positions 524 to 776 of the family's 1533-position model. The record is from RNAcentral.